UGUUAUUGGUAUUAUUAUUGUUGUUGUUGUUAUUUGAGGUAUUCUAGCUCGUUUCGUCUUAACAUUUGAGAGUUUCAAGCAGUAUUCUACAUCACCGGCUACGCGUACCUCUUUCUGAAAUCUUUACAGCAUUGUGUUUUCCUUUUUUUCUUCUUCUUUUGUAGUUGUGGGGCCGGCACAAACUCUUGCAGGUAUUGUAUUGCAUCAGUUUGUUUUGUGAUGCGAUUUCAAUGCAGUCCUGUGUGUAAUUAGUGUUUUGGGGGUAUUAUGUGUGUUGUGCGUGUAAUGGGAGUAGUGUUCUUCUUUUGGCUAUGAAGUCUGAAAAUUAAUUGUUCCUGGGUUGAAGAAGAAGAAGAAGAAGAAGAAGAAGAAGAAGAAGAAGAAGAAGAAGAAGAAGAAGAAGAAGAAGAAGAAGAAAUAGUCUCUGUUAUAAGAUUGCGCCUGAAAUAAUAACCCUUUCAAGAUACCAUGCUAACCCAAGAAAUGAAAAGACAUGCAAUUUUAGUUGGUAUAUACGCAAACCAAAGUGAUUUAGAAAUUAGGAACUUUCUAAAUGUUGUAAGAUCAUUUGUACACAAAUUCGAUUGGAAUUGGAGGCGUGUAAUAGUAUUGUUUCACCUGUCUCAAAAAAUAAAAAAAGUGAUAGAUUCACAAAAAUCCAAAAUGUGAUUUUACUAUAUCCAACAUAUAGUGGGACCAUAUCGAUACUAUCUUCUCUAUGAUGCACCAAACACUUUAACUGGCAAAAAUCAAGUACUUGUUUCAGAAGUCAUUUGACUGUGGCCAUGCUAGAGCACCGCCUUUAGUCGAGCAAAUCGACCCCAGGACUUAUUCUUUGGAAGCCUAGUACUUAUUCUAUCGGUCUCUUUUGCCGAACCGCUAAGUUACUUACCACACAGCCACUCCUACGCCUAUACUGAAAAAGACAAUGAAAAUAUUUAUUAUCAUUGCGUUUCUAAUUUCAGGUCACAAGGGAAUGCUUCUUCGUUAUUGCAGUAAACAUUAAAUUCUUGAGACAUAUGUAAAUAAAGUUUACAGUCUGUGUUUUAGCUAUUUUGAUUUAGUAGUUGUUACUCUGCCAGAUUUGCGUAUGAUGAAAAAUUGCCAUAUUGGUGAAGUGAGGCAGGCGUGGAGCUGAUAGAAUCUUUAACACCUCAGGCAAAUUACUUAAUGGCAUUUCGUUCUUCUUCACCCUGUAAGUUCAAAUUCCGUCGAGGUCAAAUUUAUCAUUCAUUCUUCCGGGGCUGAUGAAACAAAUGCCAGCUGAGUACUGGAGUCGAUGUAAUCGAUUUAUACUUGUGCCAAAAUUUGAAACCAAUAUAAUUGAAAUCGUACAGACACGUAGGUAUCCAUCCUGAAUACUUGACAUACAGUUGUGUUGUGUAUGGUUGCUUAUUACAUUACAGGUAUAUUUUAAAUAUAGAUAAGUACUUCUAUAUUUCCAACUAUUGCAUUUUGGAUUAUUUCGAUAUUAGUUGCAAAUGUUGCCACAUGGCCAGUAAUUUCGAGGGAGAAGUUUAGGCAAUUACACCGAACAGGUUUCUCAACUGCAACUUAUUUAAUCACCCCCAAAAUGAUGAAAUGCAAAUUCAACCGCUGAAUUUGAACACGGCACAUAAAGUCACACCUUAUGCCGUUAAAUGUUUUUCUGCAUUACUAUCAACAUCAGCCAUCUCACCACCUUAGAUGAUUUCAAAAUUUGUACAACACCAUCAACCUCGAAUUAUGAGGCUUUUGUGUUUCAUCUGCAGCUUGUAGCCAAUAUAAGGUAAACAACAGCGUUUCAACAAAAGAGUAAUACUGCCCCGAGAAUCUGAAGGGGUGAAUUGCCCGCAGACAUACGGGAAUAUAUCUGCAGUCUCUAGACAUAUUCACAGAAUGAAAAUAAAGAAAAGAAUAUUAGAAUUUAACAUUUAAGUCAAUAUAAAGUAAGCAUUUUAAUUUAACAUUCAAUUAUGUCAUACAAAAUUAGAAAACUAACGUCGUCGUAUAAUUUGACAACCUGAUGUGAUAAAGAUAAAUACACAACACAAUGACUCGUUAUUUUUCAUAUAUAUUCAGAAAAUGAUACCUUACAACCAAUAAAAAAAAAUCAUGCAGACCAGUGUAAUACACUCGAUGUAUUUGUCAACACUUUUCGACAAGGAAGAAAGUUUUAUUAUUAUUUACAUAGCUGUUGCUAGUGUUUUAUACAGCCGUUCCUCGUUUCACGCAGAGAUGUCAAGUAACAGCAUUUUGAGCGUUUUCCUGUGACUGUCCAUCAGAGAACCUCAAGUCCAACCUUGGCUUUUCAUUGCUAACCUCCACUUCCAUUACAAAAACAGCACAUUCCUGGAAGGCUUCGUUCUCUUAAUCGGGUAUAGACAGAGUGGGAUCAUGGCUACCCCUACCCUGAAUAUACUGGAACACAUGGUACUCCAUGCUUCACAAAACAUCGCUUUGACCCGGAGAUACGUUGACGAAGCAUCCGUCUUGACUAACUCCAGAGAUAAGUCGACCAGGAUCCCCAAUAGCUUUCAAAGCCUCUAUCACAACAUCCAGUUUGAGAUUAAACACCAAGCCACUAGUUGCUCACUGAGACUCCUCGACUUCUUUAUAUAAAGAUAUGCAACAAACCGUUUCUUCGAGAAACAGGCGAAGAAAGACAUCUUCCACUACUCGGGUUCAUCAUAUCCACUGUUGUUGAUGCAAAUUGUAGCCUUUAACGAGUUCAACAGCCGCGUAAGCAGGUGCGACGUGGCUGAAAUAGAGAACCAUCUAAGGACAGAAUUCAUUAAGAUACUGCACCUCACAUGAUGCAAUCCUAUAUUCAUAGAAAAUGUGUGCAACACUCUAAACACACGGGAACGGCAGUUACAAAGACACCGCGACAAUUCUAUCUGGUAGAAGAAGAAUAGCAACGAUGACGACGUCGACGACGAUGACAAAAACAACGAUGACACCGACAACAUCCACAACAGCAAAAGCAACAACUACAGACACAAUGGUGGCAGACGAACUUAUGACGAUGAAGGUGAUGGUGACCACAACAACAACUCCAACAACCACCACAGCAGUGGUAACUCUCGCAAUCACGAUAAAAAUAACAACAUCAACAUUGGCAGCAGCAGCAGUAACUGGAACAAUAAUAAACAGCAGCAGAGUAGCAACGGCAGUGACGGGAACAACAGUAAUAACAACGACGAUCUUAGAAACUAAAACAGCAGCAGAGUCGGAGACAGUAAUAGCAGAACCAACAACAACAACAAUAGUCAAAAAACAACGAAAAGGAUGAAGAAAGAAUGAGAGGAAGAAAGGAAGGAAGAAAGAAAGAAAGAUAAAGAAAGAAAGAAAAAAGUAAAGAAAGAAAGGAUGACGGAAAGUAAGGAAGAAAGAAAUGAAAAUGUAAGGGUUAGGUUACGUCAACUUUCCAUACAAUGGUGACAAAGCAGAAAACAAGAUAAAGAACAUCGAAAAAUGUUGUCUGCCCAUCAGAAUAGCCUUGACACUACCUCUCACAAAAACAAAACACUGGACACAUGCUGUUUGAACCAAGACCCAAUCAAAGCAAAACGGCCAAAGGUCAGCGGCCAGUUAUGUUUUAAAACUCACGCAGUGUAUCAAAUGACGUGUUUAUGUGAGCUAACGUAAAUAAGAUCGACGAAAAGACAGCAUUCCCACAAGCUCACACCUCUCGUUGUGCGUAUUCCAACAAACCCAGCAAUGCGUAGUAGAGAUUUAUCCAUCCUUAUACUGGCAAAGGGAACAAAUAGUGUCAACCAGAGAAUCGCGGACGAACACUUCAUUAGGAAGAAAUCACCUAACCUUAAAUGCCGGAGCGAGCACAACGUUUGGAGGUUAAACUACUGCUUCCAGAGCCUUUCACAAGUACCCGCAAGGACCCCAUAAAAUGUAAACUGGAAAAAUGUCUGAAGAAGAACCGUUGAUCCGAAAACGCUUACAAGAGUAAAUAUAACCUAACAACUUGCAACAAGGCUGUCCACAUUACCCGCCACAUGUAGGUCCUAUCUUUCUCUCUCCAUAUCUGUAUUUGUAUCAAUCUAUCUAUCUAUCUAUUUAUCUAUCUAUCUAUCUAUCUAUCUUCUAUCUAUCUAUCUAUCUAUAUAUAUAUAUCUGUCUGUCUGUCUGACUGUUUGCCUGUCUAUCUAUCUAUCUGUCUAUGCGUCUACAGCAUUUCUGUUCCCCUCACAUGACAACGGAUUUCGCCUUAACUAGAACUCCCCCCCCCAUCAUAUGACAACGGAUUUCGCCUUAAAUAAAACUACGCCCUUUAACUUUCCUUAGAGACACGUUUAGGAUGGAACAGAUCUCGUACAAUUCAAACGUCUCCUGAACAUAUACCACCAAAUAAUUUUAGUUUUAACCACGGAACUAUAAUUUUUUGCGAAAGUUAUUAAUACGUGUUUAAUAGGCAAUCAGUAGCUCUUUAAGUGUAUGGUCUAUUGUAAUCUAAAAUUAAGAUUACAACAUGAAAUACAUAAUGACAUUUCCAUCUGUUAUUAUAGUCCGAGGUGAUGAAGUUUAAAAAAUAUUCAAGUGUGUAGGUUUCUAACUAUAUGAUAAUAUGUGAAAAUCACAUGCUCUGCAAAUCAUUGAAUGGUUGAAAACAUAUCGUAAUGAAUCACCUCUCAAAAUUAAUCUGUCAUUCUCGAUGUCAGACAUCUGUUACAAUCCUCUUUAUUAAAAAAGACAAAGCUACAUAUUCAAUAUUAUUACAGAUGCAAACUUUUACGAUUACCCGAUAUUAACGAUGAACAUUAUUAUCUUCGCUUUAGUCCUAACUUUUGGUGUUGCGGUGUCAGAUGAUUGCAAUGUAUUGGCAGAGAAACGCUGUAGGUUGUCCAGUAAAUAUUUCCACACACUCAGACAUGAUGUCCGUUUUUGCAGACGACUCAGAAGAAAUAGAGUUUGUGCUUUUAAAAUAAGUGAUGAAUGUUUUAAAUAUUUCAAGUUCUACAAUCAUUAUAAAUGUGUGUUUCAUGGCGGAGCAGAUAUAAACAGAAAUACGGUCAGGCUGGAAAGAUUAUUGGCUUUUGCGUUUGUCGCUCAAUUAAUUAUAACGAAAUAAAGAAUCUAUUGUAAUAAAUAUAUUGUAUUAUUUCAUGUCUUGGUGAA
This is an unclassified non-coding RNA of Octopus bimaculoides (California two-spot octopus), 5115 nucleotides long. The record is from RefSeq and is a predicted model, not a curated record. Lineage: Eukaryota; Metazoa; Mollusca; Cephalopoda; Octopoda; Octopodidae.